UACGUAGGGGGCUAGCGUUAUCCGGAAUUACUGGGCGUAAAGGGUGCGUAGGUGGUUUCUUAAGUCAGAGGUGAAAGGCUACGGCUCAACCGUAGUAGGCCUUUGAAACUGGGGAACUUGAGUGCAGGAGAGGAGAGUGGAAUUCCUAGUGUAGCGGUGAAAUGCGUAGAUAUUAGGAGGAACACCAGUUGCGAAGGCGGCUCUCUGGACUGUAACUGACACUGAGGCACGAAAGCGUGGGGAGCAAACAGG
This 252-nucleotide ribosomal RNA is filed under the name uncultured bacterium. RNAcentral describes it as "partial 16S ribosomal RNA". It matches the Rfam family "Bacterial small subunit ribosomal RNA", at positions 524 to 776 of the family's 1533-position model. The record is from RNAcentral.